UGAUGGCACAGCACUUUGGACAGUGUGGAUGGCACAGCACUUUGGGCAGUGUGGCCAGGUAGCCAUUGUUUUACUCAUAUUUUAAGAGAAAGCACCAGCCAGACUUUUCCUCUAGAAGCAGUCAUGCAGCUCAGAUGCUAAAAUUAAUCCCUUAACUAAUGAUCCAUAUGAAGUCAUUCUUUUGGUACUGAUGUUAUUGGUCCUGUUCUGGUGACAAAUGCAUUUGCUUUGAAUAAAAUGACUCAACUAAUUUCAUACUCAGAAUCAGAAGCUGAGCUCUCCAUGCCCCCUGAAAUGCUGGAGCUGUCAUGAUGAGUCUCAAAGAACCCCAGGAAGGAGGAAGAGAGAACUUCUAAAUAAUUCAGCACAACACUUCCAUCCUCUUCUUGGGAAUGGUCUUUUCUGUGCGUUACAGUCCUAUUGAAGGGCUGUGUAAGAAUCUACUGAAGACUUUUCAGCUAUGACCUUGUGGCCCUCAAGUGGGUGUUCAAGUUUCUCAAGAAUCCUCAAACAUCCAGAGUAAGAGCUACGAAUGGAAAUGCAAGGCUGCUGAAAAGGAGAGAAAACCAACAUUAAAACAUCCGAGAGAGAAUGAAGGAAGCUGAGUCUGGAGACUGUCUUUCCUGCUGACGGUGAAUGAAGACUGCAAUAUUCUCUGCUGCAAGUCCAUCUGCUCUUGAACCUCUCUUAAAAAGAUCUAUCUAACAAUAUUCUUCCUUUGGAGUUUCCAGUGCUGCUUAUGAAGACUUGAAAGCAGACUAUUCACAUGCUACAGAUAUGAGAAGUGAAUCAUCAAGAAUCUGCUCUACUCUGCCUCCAGCCUUGGUAAGGUAGGGCAUUAUAGGAAGAGAGAUUUCGGUUUCUGGAAGACAAGUAAUGAUGUGGAAGGAGGAGGAAGACAAACUUGGUCAUCUAAGAAUGCAAGUUCCCAAGUGAAACUCCAGAAAGACAAGAGAGAGGUAAAGGUGUAUUAUAUGUAGAAGAUUAGAGUUAAAAGUGUCUGGUUUAUGGGAAUAAGAAUUACUUCCUUCCAGGGAUGGUUAUGCAUGUACAUGUAGUACAAUGUCCCAAUGCAUCUGAAUUCACUCUAGACUGCAAAUGGGCCCAAAGGUGAUAUUUGGGGGGAAAAAAAAAAAAGAAGAAGAAGAAGAAGAAGAAGAAGAAGAAGAAGAAAAGUAAGAAAGGAAUUCACUGUUUUGCAAAGCAUUACAAUGCUCAGCUGCUGCCAAGGAGUUCUCAGUGUAGCUAAAAUAGUGGUAGGCAAAAUACCCCUGCCAUCCAGCUGCUGGCACGCAGCACAGCAAACC
Molecule: long non-coding RNA, 1307 nt
Organism: Gallus gallus (chicken)
Lineage: Eukaryota; Metazoa; Chordata; Aves; Galliformes; Phasianidae
Source: Ensembl